GAUGAACGCUGGCGGCGUGCCUAAUACAUGCAAGUCGAGCGAACAGACGAGGAGCUUGCUCCUCUGACGUUAGCGGCGGACGGGUGAGUAACACGUGGAUAACCUACCUAUAAGACUGGGAUAACUUCGGGAAACCGGAGCUAAUACCGGAUAAUAUAUUGAACCGCAUGGUUCAAUAGUGAAAGACGGUUUUGCUGUCACUUAUAGAUGGAUCCGCGCCGCAUUAGCUAGUUGGUAAGGUAACGGCUUACCAAGGCAACGAUGCGUAGCCGACCUGAGAGGUGGUACGGCCCACAGGGACCUGAACACGGUCCCAACCCCCAAGGGGGGGAAGAAGUAGGAAACUUUCCGAAAGGGGGGAAAGCUGGAGGGGGCAAGCCGCGGGGGGGAAUGAAGGUUUUCGGUUCGAAAAACCCUUUUAUUGGGAAAAAAAAAAUUUGAAAGUAACUAUGCACGUUUUGACGGUACCAAUAAAAAAAGCCCCGGCUAACUACGU
This 496-nucleotide ribosomal RNA is filed under the name uncultured bacterium. RNAcentral's name for it is "partial 16S ribosomal RNA". It matches the Rfam family "Bacterial small subunit ribosomal RNA", at positions 28 to 506 of the family's 1533-position model. The record is from RNAcentral.